UCUGAGGAGGAAGGCGGGAUGGGAGGGUCGUGGGCGUAGGUGUUCUGAGGAGGAAGGCAAUUGAGUAGCAUCGUGUCCUGAACUGAAUCCAAUGCAGCUAUCUACCGUUGCACAAUUUCGUAAGUGCAUCCAUCCACAUCGUGUCCAUCUUGCAGUUCCAGGCUGAGCUGAUUUCUUGAGUGCUCUGCCCUCCCUGGAAUUGCUCAAACAGGUGUACCAGGUCAGGCAUGUGGCCAUCAUGUCCUAUUUUUUCCAUUAAUCCAUGCGAAUAAGUGUCACAUGAACACGCCCCCAGGGAAGACACACCGUAAAUCUAGCCAGCCAGCCACAAGAUCACUGGACGAGAUCAAUACAUGGAUAGAUGAACAAAAAACAAGUACUCACUCUGUACUAGUACUAGAUGAUCUCACUGAAGAAAGAAACUUGUUUUUCUCUUCAGAUAGAGAAAUAAAAUACUACUACUAAGAAGAAGCUUCAGCGCACGAGCAAGAAAAAGUGAGGGAGCCUUUUAUUCUUGUCCUCGCUAGCUAGUGAUAUAUGUCUAUACAAUAUAGAAACUCAUGCAUCAUGCACUCAAAGGCACACAUGUAUACCCAUCCUGCCUGCUGAAUAAACAAACUCUUCAGGCAUAGUGAUUUUUUUCUUCUUCCUUUCUUUCCUUCACAUUCCAGUAGUGAUUUUUUUGUCCCUGCCUGCACAAUUUGUGUCUUGACCAUGCCAUGUUUCACAAGGGAGGGGCAAGAGCAUAGAUACACAGAUAGAUUUAUCCAUGCAGUGAAUUUUUACAGCACUAAAUUCUUACAGCCAUACUGUAGUAGUACUGUUUUUUGUUCACGCGAGCUGUUGGAUUGGUAGUAGUAGCAGUGAUGAUUCAGAGUUUGAGACAAUGCCUCCACGCACUAGGCUGAGGUGAGGGUCCAAUGCCUGCACGCAUGAGUGACAUUGAUGCGGCCUGCCAGAUUAGGCAACCAAAUUUAUUAUGAUAGUACUGUAAGUAUUACUGACACAAACCUGCAUCUACCCAAGAUUCAGAUAGAUUUAAUUUCUUUCAUUUUUUUGUAGCAGCAUGCAGCGUGUCCUGAACCACCUGCACAAUUUUCAUUUCUUCAGUGUGUCCACCCGCAUCUGCCCAAGUUUCAGACAAAUUUCUUGAGUGCCCUAUGUGUUGUGUUGCCUGAAUUCAUUUCCGUUCCAUUGCAUUCCACCACCACUCGAGAAUAAAAGCUUUAUAUUCAUGAUCCUGCUCCACCACUUGAAAUAAAAGCAUGUGUUCAAUCAAAAAAAUAAAAGCCUGUGCAGUGUUCGAUCAAAAAAAAAGAAGAUUGUGCCAUAUACAAGAAUGGCCGACAUAGAGAGAGAGAGAGAGAGAGAGAGAGAGAGAGAGAGAGAGAGAGAAUUCAUUUCCUCUCCACAGAAUUACAUAUGACAUAUAGAGUGACAUUGCUCCUUGUUAAUCACCACUAUAGUAGUAGUAAUUGUUGCACACAGAGUGGUCCUUUUUUAUCUUCAAAUGGCAGUAUGUGUACGAUUCAAUAGGGGCUGCUAGUGGUUUAGUAUUAAUAUAUGUACAGCAAUGUUCAGAAUUGACUAAGCAAGUGCAUAGUCUGAACCGUGAUUGGAAAUCAUGCAUGAUGCUACAAGCUUUUAGAAUAACAGCGGUUCAUGGAGUAAUAUGCUUUGGACUGCUGGUGUGCCUCCUGGGAUUCAGCUUUUUUGUGGCCUCGUAACUUGCUUCCUGGACUAGCAAUUCAGGAAUGCUAGCGGUUUGCUUGCGGUGUUCUCGAUUCAGGACUAUGAUUUCCAAUUGUGCACGAUGCCACAAGCUUUUAGAACCAUAGUGAGUCACGCGGAAUCUUAUCUGGGCUGCUGGUGUCUCCUGGGAUUCAGACUUAGCAUGACUCAAAAAAGCAUAUCGGCAGCUGGUCAUCUAUUGUUUGGACUAAAGAAUCAUCAAGUCCUCCUGAUAUAUGUUUGGAUGUUAGAUGGUUCAUGCAUAUUUCUGUCUACUUCUUCUAGAAUUAUUGUGUUACCUAGAUUCCAAAACCAGUUCAAUAUAGAUGGCAUUGUGAACAUGAAACUGAAUACAGAACUUAUCCUCUCUGUUUUCAUUUCAUUUUGGAAAAUCAUAGGUCUCUAGAAGAAAGUAGUCUGUAGGGGACCUCUAGUACUAGUGUUUUUUCUUUGCAGAUAAGCAUGUCAUUUGUUCAUCUGUGAUUUGUCCUUGAACUCCUAAAACUUCUGAUGAGAAGAAUGUUAGUAGAUGCACAUUCUAUCUGCUUCUGCUAGUUUUCAUGUGUCCGGUCUUGCCUUUUCGGAGUCUCUACAAGAGGUUUUGUUUGUAGAAAUGUAUAGUUGACUGUCCAUCUAUUUGUUUGUAGAAAAGUAUAGCUGACAGUCAGUUAAGCAUAGAUGCACAUUUUUCCUACUGUUUUAGUGAUAACAUAAUAAAUAGAUGGAUUUCUUCUACAAGAGAUUUUAUCUGUAGAAAAAAUCAUAUAGGCUGCUUGUUCAUUUAUUGUUUGAACUAAAACAUCCCGAUGUCCUGAUAAGUUUCGAUGUUAGAUGGAUACAUGCUUCUAUCUGCUUCUUCUAGAAUUACUGUGUUACCAAGAUUCCAAAACUUCUUAGUGUAGCAUUGUAGCUUUAUUUCUACAUGCUCAAACUACCUUCUGUAUGCAGUAUGCAACAAAACUAUGUUGUAUAUAUUCAGUAGUAAAUGUAUCAUCUUAAGAGUGUACUGAAGCUAGAUUAUUUUGUAGCUCAUUUUUUACGCUCUCUCCAUGGUUAAUAUAAAUUAUGCAAAGCAAUGUUUACUUUGAGUGUAACUCUAGUGCUAUUCUUAUUAUUCAAUGUACAUCGAUGGUGUUGCUGGACUUGUGCUAGUCAGAGGGGAGAAAGCUAAGAACCUUGGCCUUUAAGUUCUUGCAAGGAUCAGAGGGUAUGCUGAUGCUACUCAGGGGUGAUCGACGUGGACUACCAUCGCCUGGUGGGCGUCGUGCUCUUCAACCACUCAGAGGCAGACUUCAUCGUGAAGCCGGACGAUCGCGCCGCACACAUGAUCGUCCAGGUCAUUGCAACGCAGGAGGUCGCCGAGGUGGACGACCUCGACGCCACCGUCCGCCGGGAGGGACUGCUCAGAUCCACCAACGUUUCAACUCCGAAACUUGGUAGAUACAUCUAGAGAAGUGGUCUAGUUGUUUGCAUCUGAUGUUAAAUGUGAUUUUGAGAUCUCGAGUUGAGAUGUUCAAUGUUGUAUCCAUGAAUGCUGCAAGUGCUAAGAUGGUUCUGUGAACUUAGUUUAUUUGCACCGGAUGUGUCUUGAUUUCCAUC
This is a long non-coding RNA of Triticum dicoccoides, 3330 nucleotides long. RefSeq lists it as uncharacterized. Lineage: Eukaryota; Viridiplantae; Streptophyta; Magnoliopsida; Poales; Poaceae. The transcript has 2 exons. The record is from RefSeq and is a predicted model, not a curated record.